AUGUCUCAUACUUGUAUGCUUUACUUCGAAGCCCACCAACACCAUGCCAAAUUUCAGGACAACCAUGCCAGUGUUAUGAGGAAAGAAGAAGCAGCAGUAGGAGCAAAGCAUGUUGAAGCCAACAAAAAACAAGUCAAAUUUCAGGACAGCCAUGCCAAUGAUAUCAAGAUAGAUGAUGUGAGUAAGGAUGUGGAUACAGUGGCUUUGGACUUCAUCAACCGUAAGCACACGUCCUGGGCACUCCAGAAGAGCACAACCAUGUAUCCAGCUUCCUAA
This 276-nucleotide ribosomal RNA is filed under the name Triticum aestivum (bread wheat). Its description in RNAcentral is "partial small subunit ribosomal RNA". Lineage: Eukaryota; Viridiplantae; Streptophyta; Magnoliopsida; Poales; Poaceae. The record is from RNAcentral.